UGGGGAAUCUUGCGCAAUGGGCGAAAGCCUGACGCAGCAACGCCGCGUGCGGGAUGAAGGCCUUCGGGCUGUAAACCGCUUUCAGCAGGAACGAAAAUGACGGUACCUGCAGAAGAAGGAGCGGCCAACUACGUGCCAGCAGCCGCGGUGACACGUAGGCUCCAAGCGUUGUCCGGAUUUAUUGGGCGUAAAGAGCUCGUAGGCGGUUUAGUAAGUCGGGUGUUAAAACUCUGGGCUCAACCCGGAGAGGCCAUCCGAUACUGCUGUGACCUUGAGUUCAGGAGGGGAGCGGGGAAUUCCUAGUGUAGCGGUGAAAUGCGCAGAUAUUAGGAGGAACACCGGUGGCGAAGGCGCCGCUCUGGACUGAAACUGACGCUGAGGAGCGAAAGCAUGGGUAGCAAACAGGAUUA
Molecule: ribosomal RNA, 410 nt
Filed under: actinobacterium SCGC AAA027-O14
Lineage: Bacteria; Bacillati; Actinomycetota; Actinomycetes
Description: bacterial SSU rRNA
Rfam family: Bacterial small subunit ribosomal RNA
Source: RNAcentral